Molecule: ribosomal RNA, 473 nt
Filed under: uncultured bacterium
Lineage: Bacteria
Description: partial 16S ribosomal RNA
Rfam family: Bacterial small subunit ribosomal RNA
Source: RNAcentral
GAUGAACGCUAGCGGCAGGCCUAAUACAUGCAAGUCGAACGGGCGGUAGCAAUACCGCUAGUGGCGCACGGGUGCGUAACGCGUAACCAACCUGCCCAGAUCUGGGGGAUAGCCCGCCGAAAGGCGGAUUAAUACCGCAUAAACCCACAGUGUGGCAUCACAUAAUGGGUAAAGAUUUAUCGGAUCUGGAUGGGGUUGCGUAGCAUUAGCUAGUUGGCGGGGUAAUGGCCCACCAAGGCGACGAUGCUUAGGGGACCUGAGAGGGUGAUCCCCCACACUGGCACUGAGAUACGGGCCAGACUCCUACGGGAGGCAGCAGUAGGGAAUAGUGGGCAAUGGGCGAGAGCCUGACCCAGCCAUGCCGCGUGCCGGAUGAAGGCCUUCUGGGGUGUAAACGGCUUUUCUCAGGGAAGAAAACGGGGAUGCGUCCUCAACUGACGGUACCUGAGGAAUAAGCACCGGCUAACUCCGUG